Long non-coding RNA from Nothoprocta perdicaria, 818 nucleotides. RefSeq lists it as uncharacterized. The record is from RefSeq and is a predicted model, not a curated record. NCBI's taxonomy places the organism in Eukaryota, Metazoa, Chordata, Aves, Tinamiformes, Tinamidae. The transcript has 3 exons.
UCUGCACGAGAGGAGGCGCAGUGGCCUGUGAGGAGGAUGGAAAUGAGUGCUUGAAGAAAUGACUAAGGUAAAGGAGUCUGAAAAACGCCAGCAAUCUCAGCAGAUUAAAAAAAUACUUUCACUAUUACUUUAUUGGAUGAUGGUCAAACCUCAGAAUCUGCAAGAGCUUGGCCUGUAUUUAUCAGGCUGUCAUAGGCUCGUGAUGAACACGGCAAAACAAGCGAUCUGCAGCUCAAUCCAAACGGCGUGUUCAUGGGUGCCUUGGUGUCGUGUAAUUGAGACUUCAGCCCAGCAGUCUGGUUUCCAUGUGCUGUGAGUUGAAUCGUUGCUGUUCUGCACAAAUGCACAAGAGGAGGAGGAAUUGUAAGCGCUCUCCUGCACAUGUGAGCCAGCCACGAGGCUGGCACUGCUGCGUCACGGACAGCUGCCUGCUGCAGAGUGGACCUGUGUCAUAGAUUAAACCAGUUAAAUUUUCAGGGAUGUUGGUUGUUAUUUUUCAAUUUAAUGCUGAAAAAGGUGCGUUUUUCAGUUUAUUUUUCUAAAGAAGACAAACCCGUGAGUCACAGCCAAACCAUAAGAUUCGAAGUAUGAUAAGUGACCAUGUUGGAAGAUUCUGCAGACUCCAAAAGGUACCAUAUCUCAGCAUUUCUUUAUUUCAUAAAUUGGGGUAGAACAACUAUUACUAAUAGUCUAACAUAUUAUCUCCUUGAAGCAUUCAAAAAAUGCAAAUUAUGUAAAAGGUACUAUCGCAAAUCUCUAAGCUUCUCUAAGCUCCCUACAACUACCUGAAAAGAGGCUGUAGUGAGGUGGUGGUGGAU